Molecule: long non-coding RNA, 208 nt
Filed under: Ricinus communis (castor bean)
Lineage: Eukaryota; Viridiplantae; Streptophyta; Magnoliopsida; Malpighiales; Euphorbiaceae
Description: long non-coding RNA (RCOM_LNC003410)
Source: RNAcentral
CUAAAAGACAAAUUAAGUUCUGCACCCUUGUUAUCUUUGCCAAAUUUUACUAAACCUUUUGAGAUUGAGUGUGAUGCAAGUGGCAUAGGUAUUGGGGAGUUAAUUGAUGAAACCUACAAUUCCCAUCAUAAGUGGUAUCAGAGCAUUGGCUCGAGAUUGAGGUUGCGUAUCCAAUACUAUCUUUUAAUUCUCAAUAUCUUGUGUUCAU